This 460-nucleotide ribosomal RNA is filed under the name uncultured bacterium. RNAcentral's name for it is "partial 16S ribosomal RNA". It matches the Rfam family "Bacterial small subunit ribosomal RNA", at positions 338 to 795 of the family's 1533-position model. The record is from RNAcentral.
CCUACGGGAGGCAGCAGUGAGGAAUAUUGGUCAAUGGACGAGAGUCUGAACCAGCCAAGUAGCGUGAAGGAUGACUGCCCUAUGGGUUGUAAACUUCUUUUAUAUGGGAAUAAAAUGUUCCACGUGUGGGAUUUUGUAUGUACCAUAUGAAUAAGGAUCGGCUAACUCCGUGCCAGCAGCCGCGGUAAUACGGAGGAUCCGAGCGUUAUCCGGAUUUAUUGGGUUUAAAGGGAGCGUAGGUGGAUUGUUAAGUCAGUUGUGAAAGUUUGCGGCUCAACCGUAAAAGUGCAGUUGAAACUGGCAGUCUUGAGUACAGUAGAGGUGGGCGGAAUUCGUGGUGUAGCGGUGAAAUGCUUAGAUAUCACGAAGAACUCCGAUUGCGAAGGCAGUUCACUGGACUGCAACUGACACUGAGGCUCGAAAGUGUGGGUAUCAAACAGGAGUAGAUACCCCAGUAGUC